AGGAGUGAAGUAAUAUACAGCGAAAGUUUAUAUAAAUAAAAUAGUUAUGCUUCGAUUAAUAUAAUUAAUCAAUCGCCUUAAUAAAACUGAGUUGAAACACCAUUGAAUUAACUACAUUUAAAAGAAUGAAUGCUGAUAUAUGGAUAACUCGCAGGAUGUGUCUUGAAGAAGAGUGAAAAUUUUAGCAUAUACAGGUCAGCUUUCUCACAGCUUUCUCACUGUUCACAUUGACCAAUAAGGCCUUUAAAACUGCAUAUUGGAAGCUUCUGAUCAACUAAGACCUUAAUUGAUAACACCACAAUAUGUAUGCAGGAACCAUUAUUUUUAACACAUCAAUGCAAAGGCUAACGACUAGAACUUGGAAGGAAUCGUUUUAUAUUUAUUUAAAGUGAAUACGAAAUUGCUAAUACAACUUAAAAUUCCAGUGACCUUUGUAUUAUUUCAUGAAGAGUAGAUUGAAACUACUGAUGUACUUUGUUGAGACAAAGUGUUUUAUACAAGCCUUCCGAUAUUCGGAUUACAGAGAAAUUUCUACACUCCAUGCUAAUAAAAGGAUAAGCUCUAUUUAACAGACAUGUUUUUCAAUCAUUAUUUAUAUCCAAAAAUGUUCUUUAAAGAGAAACAGAGUUUUUAACAGAACACAGUUUCCAAUUUCGUCACUGUACUCUUAACAGAACUUUCCAAUAUGUGUUGAC
Long non-coding RNA from Teleopsis dalmanni, 695 nucleotides. RefSeq lists it as uncharacterized. The record is from RefSeq and is a predicted model, not a curated record. Lineage: Eukaryota; Metazoa; Arthropoda; Insecta; Diptera; Diopsidae. The transcript is spliced from 4 exons.